This 253-nucleotide ribosomal RNA is filed under the name uncultured bacterium. RNAcentral describes it as "partial 16S ribosomal RNA". It matches the Rfam family "Bacterial small subunit ribosomal RNA", at positions 524 to 776 of the family's 1533-position model. The record is from RNAcentral.
UACGUAGGGUGCAAGCGUUGUCCGGAAUUAUUGGGCGUAAAGAGCUCGUAGGCGGUUUGUCGCGUCGAAUGUGAAAACCCGGGGCUCAACCCCGGGCCUGCAGUCGAUACGGGCAGGCUAGAGUUCGGCAGGGGAGACUGGAAUUCCUGGUGUAGCGGUGAAAUGCGCAGAUAUCAGGAGGAACACCGGUGGCGAAGGCGGGUCUCUGGGCCGAUACUGACACUGAGGAGCGAAAGCGUGGGGAGCGAACAGG